GAAAAAAAAGAAAAAUCAGACCACCUCUAGGAUAGACUCAGAACCCUUCUGCCCUCGUGGACAGCUCGAGUCUCCCCUUACUGACUGUAGAAUGGGUGAACACGUGAACUCUCCUCACCCUCCUGACCUUUAUCCUGAUUGGCUCUUGUAUCUUAUAUUAGCUGUAUGUGCUUCCUCAAUAAAUGAGCUCCAGCCUUGACUGGUCUCCCUGAUGUCUCUGAUAGUUCUCCAGUGAGGGAGGGCUGGGUGCGGGCGGUCAGUCGACCCUCUCCUUUCUUGGCUUGUCCUGGCUGGGGCAUGUUCUCCCUAUUUCUCCUGCAGGUCGGAGGGAACGAGGACUAAAAUCCCUGACAUCUGGCACCCGGAUAGGGACAAGAAGAAGUGGGUUCACCAAAAGUGAAAGUAUCGGCUAGCCAAGCCAAGCGAGUUCCAAGGACCCUCCUCCUACAGAAAUGAUACAAUGUUGCCAAAGACGGACAUCCAAUGAUCAGAAUUUGGAAGUGGUCACUCGCAAACCUAGGACACCUUCAUGAAAAAAAAUAAUAAUCAGAACUAUCCACAUGAAAAAGCUUCCCUCACGCCUCCCCCAACAGGACCUGCAGCCAUUUACUACAGUAACUAUGCAUUAAGGAAAAAGAAAUACCCUACUGGUCUUGAGGGCAGGAGGGGGGCUCUGUCCCUCUUCUCUCAGAGAUGACCCCCUCACCCUCAAGUGUCCCUUUCUCCCCUUUUCUAUCCCUUCUAAUAAACUCAUGUCUGUCUGCAACAA
Non-coding RNA from Ictidomys tridecemlineatus (thirteen-lined ground squirrel), 769 nucleotides. NCBI's taxonomy places the organism in Eukaryota, Metazoa, Chordata, Mammalia, Rodentia, Sciuridae. The record is from RefSeq and is a predicted model, not a curated record.